GGGAGGACUGCCCCUAUGGGGUAUAAAAACGAUUUUUAUGGGGGAAUAAAAGUCGAGAAAAGGGACCCGUUUGGCAUGUGCGGCCUGAAUAAGGGCCGGGCUAUUUCCGGGCCCGGCAGGCCGCGGGUAUUAGGAAAGUCCGGGGGUUAUUCGGGAUUUAUUGGUUUUAAGGGAGGGCAGGGGAGGGAUAAGGGGGAGGUGAAAAGUUCCCGGCUCAACCGGGGAAAUGCGUCGCGAACUGUUUUUUUGAGGGAGGGGGAGGUCGGGGGAAUUCGUGGUGUAGCGGUGAAAUGCUUAGAUAUCACGAAGAACCCCGAUUGGGAAAGGCAGCCGUGGAGUCCUUAACUGACGCUAAAGCUCGAAAGUGCGGGGUAUCGAACAGGAUUAGAUACCCUGGUAGUCCGCACGGUAAACGAUGGAUGCCCGCUGUCUGCGAUACACUGUAGGCGGCCAAGAGAAAUCGUUAAGCAUCCCAUCUGGGGAGUACGCCGGCAACGGUGAAACUCAAAGGAAUUGACGGGGGCCCGCACAAGCGGAGGAACAUGUGGUUUAAUUCGAUGAUACGCGAGGAACCUUACCCGGGCUUGAACUGCAGGCGUACGAUACAGAGAUGUUGAGGCCCUUCGGGGUGCCUGUGGAGGUGCUGCAUGGUUGUCGUCAGCUCGUGCCGUGAGGUGUCGGCUUAAGUGCCAUAACGAGCGCAACCCCUUUCUCCAGUUGCCAUCAGGUAAUGCUGGGCACUCUGGAGACACUGCCACCGUAAGGUGUGAGGAAGGUGGGGAUGACGUCAAAUCAGCACGGCCCUUACGUCCGGGGCUACACACGUGUUACAAUGGGUGGUACAGAGAGUCGGUCGUCUGCAAAUGCGAUCCAAUCCUUAAAGCCAUCCUCAGUUCGGAUUGGGGUCUGCAACCCGACCCCAUGAAGCUGGAUUCGCUAGUAAUCGCGCAUCAGCCAUGGCGCGGUGAAUACGUUCCCGGGCCUUGCACACACCGCCCGUCAAG
Molecule: ribosomal RNA, 1004 nt
Filed under: uncultured bacterium
Lineage: Bacteria
Description: bacterial SSU rRNA
Rfam family: Bacterial small subunit ribosomal RNA
Source: RNAcentral